AACAACACCUCAUCACUUCCGGUAUGUGGUACAUUCCCUUUCCGUGAAGAAUCUGUCAUUUGUAAAUUUGUUUCGGGACUGGUAAAAGUGUUUUGCGUCUUGUUAAUUUGUUUUCUAAAAUGUAAAAAUGUUUUCCAAAAUGUAAAUUUGUCUCGAGCUUUGUAAAAGUGUUUCAUUCUUUGUAAUGUUGCUUUGCACUUCCCGGCCACCGUAG
This is a long non-coding RNA of Sander lucioperca (pikeperch), 214 nucleotides long. RefSeq lists it as uncharacterized. Lineage: Eukaryota; Metazoa; Chordata; Actinopteri; Perciformes; Percidae. The record is from RefSeq and is a predicted model, not a curated record. The transcript is spliced from 2 exons.